UGGCUCAUUAAAUCAGUUAUCGUUUAUUUGAUAGUACCUUACUACUUGGAUACCUGUGGUAAUUCUAGAGCUAAUACAUGCUAAAAACCCCAACUUCGGGAGGGGUGUAUUUAUUAGAUAAAAAACCAAUGCCCCUCGGGGCUCCUUGGUGAUUCAUAAUAACUUCUCAGAUCGCAUGGCCUUGCGCCGGCGACGGUUCAUUCAAAUUUCUGCCCUAUCAACUUUCGAUGGUAAGGUAGUGGCUUACCAUGGUUUCAACGGGUAACGGGGAAUUAGGGUUCGAUUCCGGAGAGGGAGCCGGAGGAACGGCUACCACAUCCAAGGAAGGCAGCAGGCGCGCAAAUUACCCAAUUCCGAUACGGAGAGGUAGUGACAAUAAAUACUGAUACAGGGCUCUUUUGGGUCUUGUAAUUGGAAUGAGUACAAUUUAAACCUCUUAACGAGGAACAAUUGGAGGGCAAGUCUGGUGCCAGCAGCCGCGGUAAUUCCAGCUCCAAUAGCGUAUAUUAAAGUUGUUGCAGUUAAAAAGCUCGUAGUUGAACCUUUGGCCUGGCUGGCAGGUCCGCCUCACCGCGUGCACUUGUCCGGCCGGGCCUUUUCUUCUGGGCAACCGCAUGCCCUUCACUGGGUGUGUUGGGGACCAGGACUUUUACUUUGAAAAAAUUAGAGUGUUCAAAGCAGGCCUUUGCUCGAAUACGUUAGCAUGGAAUAAUAGAAUAGGACGUGCGGUCCUAUUUUGUUGGUUUCUAGGACCGCCGUAAUGAUUAAUAGGGACAGUCGGGGGCAUCAGUAUUCAAUUGUCAGAGGUGAAAUUCUUGGAUUUAUUGAAGACUAACUACUGCGAAAGCAUUUGCCAAGGAUGUUUUCAUUAAUCAGUGAACGAAAGUUAGGGGAUCGAAGACGAUCAGAUACCGUCGUAGUCUUAACCAUAAACUAUGCCGACUAGGGAUCGGGCGGUGUUUCUAUUGUGACCCGCUCGGCACCUUACGAGAAAUCAAAGUGUUUGGGU
This 1009-nucleotide ribosomal RNA is filed under the name Spegazzinia deightonii. RNAcentral describes it as "SSU rRNA". It matches the Rfam family "Eukaryotic small subunit ribosomal RNA", at positions 94 to 1112 of the family's 1831-position model. Lineage: Eukaryota; Fungi; Ascomycota; Dothideomycetes; Pleosporales; Didymosphaeriaceae. The record is from RNAcentral.